AUACGGAGGAUGCGAGCGUUAUCCGGAUUUAUUGGGUUUAAAGGGUGCGUAGGCGGCCUUGUAAGUCAGCGGUGAAAUUUUGCAGCUUAGCUGUAAAAGUGCCGUUGAUACUGUGAGGCUAGGAUUUGGUUGCUGUGGGUGGAAUUCAUGGUGUAGCGGUGAAAUGCUUAGAUAUCAUGAAGAACUCCGAUUGCGAAGGCAGUCCGCUGGGGCACGUCUGACGCUGAUGCUCGAAGGUGCGGGAAUCAAACAGGAUUAGAUACCCUGGUAGUCCGCACGGUAAACGAUGAUUACCCGCUGUCGGCGGCAGACAGUCGGCGGCCAAGCGAAAGCGAUAAGUAAUCCACCUGGGGAGUACGCCGGCAACGGUGAAACUCAAAUGAAUUGACGGGG
This 393-nucleotide ribosomal RNA is filed under the name uncultured bacterium. Its description in RNAcentral is "partial 16S ribosomal RNA". It matches the Rfam family "Bacterial small subunit ribosomal RNA", at positions 523 to 918 of the family's 1533-position model. The record is from RNAcentral.